UACGAAGGGGGCUAGCGUUGUCCGGAAUCACUGGGCGUAAAGGGCGCGUAGGCGGCUUGGCAAGUCGAUGGUGAAAGCUCGUGGCUCAACUACGAGUCGGCCAUUGAUACUGCUAGGCUUGAGUCGACUAGAGGCAGAUGGAAUUCCGGGUGUAGCGGUGGAAUGCGUAGAGAUCCGGAAGAACACCGGUGGCGAAGGCGGUCUGCUGGGGUCGAACUGACGCUGAGGCGCGACAGCGUGGGGAGCAAACAGG
RNAcentral lists this ribosomal RNA (253 nucleotides) under uncultured bacterium. Its description in RNAcentral is "partial 16S ribosomal RNA". It matches the Rfam family "Bacterial small subunit ribosomal RNA", at positions 524 to 776 of the family's 1533-position model. The record is from RNAcentral.